RNAcentral lists this unclassified non-coding RNA (244 nucleotides) under Hevea brasiliensis (rubber tree). The record is from RNAcentral. Lineage: Eukaryota; Viridiplantae; Streptophyta; Magnoliopsida; Malpighiales; Euphorbiaceae.
AAUAAGUGCAAGGGAAUGAAACUACCACUGAGAUUUCAAUUGUCCAAUUUCACUAUUUUCAAACACUCAAUUUUUUACCAAAGAAAAAAAUACUAAAAAAACUGAGUUAGUUUAAAAAGAAUAAUAAUAAAAACAGAUUCUUGUAAUCAAAAUUCUAUUCAUUUUUCUCUUUCAACUUGUUUUUCUCAGCAACCAAACAAAAGGGUAACCAAAAUGAAGGAGCUCAUAGUGGUAGGUAAAGCAA